GCCAAGCACGGUGGUGCAUGCCUGUAGUCCCAGCUAUUCAGGAGGCUGAGGCUGGAGGAUCUCUUGAGUCCAGGAGUCCUGGGCUGUAGUGCGCUAUGACCAUUGGGUGUCCACACUAAGUUCAGCAUCAAUAUGGCGACCUCCCAGGAGCAGGGGACCACCAGGUUCCCUAAGGAAUGGUGAACCAGGUCAGAAAUGGAGCAAGUCAAAACUCCAGUGCUGAUCAGUAGUGGGAUUGCGCCUGUGAAUAGCCACUGCACUCCAGCCUGGGCAGCAUAGCGAGACCCCGUCUCUU
Molecule: unclassified non-coding RNA, 295 nt
Organism: Callithrix jacchus (white-tufted-ear marmoset)
Lineage: Eukaryota; Metazoa; Chordata; Mammalia; Primates; Cebidae
Rfam family: Metazoan signal recognition particle RNA
About the family: The signal recognition particle (SRP) is a universally conserved ribonucleoprotein. It is involved in the co-translational targeting of proteins to membranes.
Source: Ensembl